CAAUAGCGUAUAUUUAAGUUGCUGCAGUUAAAAAGCUCGUAAUUGGAUUUCGGGUGGGAAUGGCCGGUCCGCCGUUUCGGUGUGCACUUGCUACGCCCACCUUGCUGCCGGGGACGUGCUCUUGAGUUCACGCUCGGGACACGGAGUCGGCGAGGUUACUUUGAGUAAAUUAGAGUGUUCAAAGCAGGCCUACGCUCUGAAUACAUUAGCAUGGAAUAACACGAUAGGACUCUGGCCUAUCUUGUUGGUCUGUAGGACCGGAGUAAUGAUUAAGAGGGACAGUCGGGGGCAUUCGUAUUUCAUUGUCAGAGGUGAAAUUCUUGGAUUUAUGAAAGACGAACUACUGCGAAAGCAUUUGCCAAGGAUGUUUUCAUUAA
This 377-nucleotide ribosomal RNA is filed under the name uncultured eukaryote. RNAcentral's name for it is "partial 18S ribosomal RNA". It matches the Rfam family "Eukaryotic small subunit ribosomal RNA", at positions 592 to 976 of the family's 1831-position model. The record is from RNAcentral.